UACAGAGGGUGCAAGCGUUAAUCGGAAUUAUUGGGCGUAAAGGGCUUGUAGGCGGUUAAAUCAGUUAGGUGUGAAAACCCUGGGCUCAACCUGGGGCUGGCACUUAAUACUGUUUAGCUAGAGUAUAGGAGAGGAGAAGGGAAUUCCUGGUGUAGCGGUGAAAUGCGUAGAUAUCAGGAGGAACAUCAGUGGCGAAGGCGCUUCUCUGGCCUAAUACUGACGCUGAGGAGCGAAGGCGUGGGGAUCAAACAGG
This 253-nucleotide ribosomal RNA is filed under the name uncultured bacterium. RNAcentral's name for it is "partial 16S ribosomal RNA". It matches the Rfam family "Bacterial small subunit ribosomal RNA", at positions 524 to 776 of the family's 1533-position model. The record is from RNAcentral.